AGGGAUCAUUACACAAAUAUGAAGGCGGGCUGGAACCUCUCGGGGUUACAGCCUUGCUGAAUUAUUCACCCUUGUCUUUUGCGUACUUCUUGUUUCCUUGGUGGGUUCGCCCACCACUAGGACAAACAUAAACCUUUUGUAAUUGCAAUCAGCGUCAGUAACAAAUUAAUAAUUACAACUUUCAACAACGGAUCUCUUGGUUCUGGCAUCGAUGAAGAACGCAGCGAAAUGCGAUAAGUAGUGUGAAUUGCAGAAUUCAGUGAAUCAUCGAAUCUUUGAACGCACAUUGCGCCCUUUGGUAUUCCAAAGGGCAUGCCUGUUCGAGCGUCAUUUGUACCCUCAAGCUUUGCUUGGUGUUGGGCGUCUUGUCUCUAGCUUUGCUGGAGACUCGCCUUAAAGUAAUUGGCAGCCGGCCUACUGGUUUCGGAGCGCAGCACAAGUCGCACUCUCUAUCAGCAAAGGUCUAGCAUCCAUUAAGCCUUUUUUUCAACUUUUGACCUCGGAUCAGGUAGGGA
This 515-nucleotide ribosomal RNA is filed under the name uncultured Alternaria. RNAcentral's name for it is "eukaryotic LSU rRNA". The stretch from base 177 to 330 matches the Rfam family "5.8S ribosomal RNA". The record is from RNAcentral. Lineage: Eukaryota; Fungi; Ascomycota; Dothideomycetes; Pleosporales; Pleosporaceae.